Molecule: ribosomal RNA, 160 nt
Filed under: uncultured bacterium
Lineage: Bacteria
Description: partial 16S ribosomal RNA
Rfam family: Bacterial small subunit ribosomal RNA
Source: RNAcentral
GGGGGAAUAUUGCACAAUGGGCGCAAGCCUGAUGCAGCCAUGCCGCGUGUAUGAAGAAGGCCUUCGGGUUGUAAAGUACUUUCAGCGGGGAGGAAGGCGGUGAGGUUAAUAACCUUGCCGAUUGACGUUACCCGCAGAAGAAGCACCGGCUAACUCCGUG